CUGGCGUAUUGUAUCCGACGGGAACAUCCCUUUGAAACCAAGGCAAGAGCAUUCCCGCGUAAUGCUGCCAGCAUUGUAACUCUCUUCCAAAUCCAGAUGAAAGAAGGAAGUUCAAUUUAUCAAGGAUCAAGGUUUGGACUACUAGACAGCACGCCGCCUUCGGUUUGAGCAUUCACCAAUAAGCGAAAGUUUCUAUGAUUAUAUGUUGUUUUACUCUGUCAAUUAUGGGGUAAAAAGGACACACCUUUAACAAUUUUGUGAUUGAAUUUAUA
This is a non-coding RNA of Malus domestica (apple), 272 nucleotides long. The record is from RefSeq and is a predicted model, not a curated record. NCBI's taxonomy places the organism in Eukaryota, Viridiplantae, Streptophyta, Magnoliopsida, Rosales, Rosaceae.